RNAcentral lists this ribosomal RNA (465 nucleotides) under uncultured bacterium. RNAcentral's name for it is "partial 16S ribosomal RNA". It matches the Rfam family "Bacterial small subunit ribosomal RNA", at positions 338 to 795 of the family's 1533-position model. The record is from RNAcentral.
CCUACGGGUGGCAGCAGUAGGGAAUCUUCCACAAUGGGCGCAAGCCUGAUGCAGCAACACCGCGUGAGUGAAGAAGGGUUUCGGCUCGUAAAGCUCUGUUGUUGGAGAAGAACGUGCGUGUGAGUAACUGUUCACGCAGUGACGGUAUCCAACCAGAAAGUCCCGUCCAACUACGUGCCAGCAGCCGCGGUAAUACGUAGGGGGCAAGCGUUAUCCGGAUUUAUUGGGCGUAAAGCGAGCGCAGGCGGUCGCGUAGGUCUGAUGUGAAAGCCUUCGGCUUAACCGCAGAAGUGCAUCGGAAACUGGGAGGCUUGAGUGCGGAAGAGGAAAGUGGAACUCCAGGUGUAGCGGUGGAAUGCGUAGAUAUAUGGAAGAACACCAGUGGCGAAGGCGGCUGGCUGGACUGCAACUGACGCUGAGGCUCGAAAGCAUGGGUAGCGAACAGGAUUAGAUACCCGAGUAGUC